UACGGAGGGGGCGAGCGUUAUUCGGAAUUAUUGGGCGUAAAGGGCGCGUAGGCGGCUGAACAAGUCAAAGGUGAAAUCCCUCGGCUCAACUGAGGAACUGCCUUUGAAACUGUUCGCUUGAGGCCGGGAGGGGGUAGCGGAAUUCCCAGUGUAGCGGUGAAAUGCGUAGAUAUUGGGAGGAACACCAGUGGCGAAGGCGGCUACCUGGACCGGUACUGACGCUGAGGUGCGAAAGCGUGGGGAGCAAACAGGAGUUAGAAACCCGUG
Molecule: ribosomal RNA, 267 nt
Filed under: uncultured bacterium
Lineage: Bacteria
Description: partial 16S ribosomal RNA
Rfam family: Bacterial small subunit ribosomal RNA
Source: RNAcentral